CCUACGGGCGGACAGCAGUGGGGAAUAUUGCACAAUGGGCGAAAGCCUGAUGCAGCCACGCCGCGUGAGCGAUGAAGGCCUUCGGUUCGUAAAGCUCUGUCCUCAAGGAAGAUAAUGACGGUAAUUGAGGAGGAAGCCCCGGCUAACUACGUGCCAGCAGCCGCGGUAAUACGUAGGGGGCUAGCUUUAUCCGUAAUUAGUGGGCGUAAAGGGUGCGUAGGUGGUUUCUUAAGUCAGGGGUAAAAGGCUGCGGCUAAACAGUAGUAAGCGUUGAAACUGGGGAACUGGAGUGCAGGAGAGGAGAGUGGAAUUCCUAGUGUAGCGGUGAAAUGCGUAGAGAUUAGGAGGAACACCAGUUGUGAAGGCGGAUCUCUGGACUGUAACUGACACUGAGGCACGAAAGCGUGGGGAGCAAACAGGAUUAGAUACCCGAGUAGUC
Molecule: ribosomal RNA, 439 nt
Filed under: uncultured bacterium
Lineage: Bacteria
Description: partial 16S ribosomal RNA
Rfam family: Bacterial small subunit ribosomal RNA
Source: RNAcentral